This 145-nucleotide unclassified non-coding RNA is filed under the name uncultured Thozetella. Its description in RNAcentral is "sequence contains ITS1". The record is from RNAcentral. Lineage: Eukaryota; Fungi; Ascomycota; Sordariomycetes; Chaetosphaeriales; Chaetosphaeriaceae.
CAGGAUUCGCAAGUCUCCCGUAACCACUGUGAACUUUACCUUUUGUUGCCUCGGCGGGUGCUGGUCCUCUAGCGCUCACGCCCGCCGACGGCCCAUAACUCAUUGUCUGACUCUAAGCAUCUCCGAGCCAUACACAAACGAAUCA